RNAcentral lists this unclassified non-coding RNA (203 nucleotides) under Hevea brasiliensis (rubber tree). Lineage: Eukaryota; Viridiplantae; Streptophyta; Magnoliopsida; Malpighiales; Euphorbiaceae. The record is from RNAcentral.
AAUUUUGUUUUCGAACAAGGGAAAUUGUUGAGCUUUCAAGGGAGAUAUUGCCAAAUUUUCUAUAUGAAUUUGGAAAUAGCUAAAAUUUUUGUAGUAGAGUUUAUAGUUAGAAAGUACAAUUUAAAAGUGUUAAUUAUAAAUAAUUUAAGGGCUAUGUGGACUUAAUCCUCUAUAGGAGAUACGUAGGUAGCCUUUGAGUGCGG